Long non-coding RNA from Hermetia illucens (black soldier fly), 643 nucleotides. RefSeq lists it as uncharacterized. The transcript has 3 exons. Lineage: Eukaryota; Metazoa; Arthropoda; Insecta; Diptera; Stratiomyidae. The record is from RefSeq and is a predicted model, not a curated record.
ACUUCAACCGACUCUUAAAUCGUUUACGGUGGAAACAGGGUCGAAACAGGGUUCCAUGGAGAGCCUUGCGGGUCCGGUAGCUAAAAUUAUGAGUAUAAAUUUUUCCUCAGCGUAAAGGAUAUAUAGCACCACGAACCAAGGAAGACUGAUCCCAGCAAUAAAGAAAAAUCUUGGUUCGGACAGACAGUCAGUCAUGGCCUUCAGUUGCACGAAAGGGUUUAAAAUUUAAUAACAAUCAUAACUUGAAUUGAAAUGACUGAUUUAUGGCACAAGACUUGGCCACAAAAAUGAAUAUUCUCCCAGUUACGUACGUUGCUGCGUACGUAUCCGACGAGGAAAAUCAAAGCCAACGAAUAUGCGCGGGAAAAAUGCGAAAAUCAAAAUAAAAAUGAAAGGAAGAGAGAACGCAGAUGAUAAUAACAAGAGAAUAUAGAAAAUGCAAUAAUAAUAAUAAUAACAGAGAAGUAUGUUCACUAGUAUUUGUUGGCUGUCUGCUUAAAUGUAGUUGCGAACCGUGCUUGGUUGGAGUACAUGACCAUUUCGAAGGAUACUGUCUGUUCGAAUGUCGGUUACCGGAAUAUGCAUAAAGGUAAAUUUCUGGAUUACAAUAAAUACCUCAUGAAGAUAAGUAUCGGAGUAUUCG